AGUGAACGCUGGCGGUAGGCCUAACACAUGCAAGUCGAACGGCAGCACAGUAAGAGCCUGCUCUUACGGGUGGCGAGUGGCGGACGGGUGAGGAAUACAUCGGAAUCUACUUUUUCGUGGGGGAUAACGUAGGGAAACUUACGCUAAUACCGCAUACGACCUACGGGUGAAAGCAGGGGAUCUUCGGACCUUGCGCGAUUGAAUGAGCCGAUGUCGGAUUAGCUAGUUGGCGGGGUAAAGGCCCACCAAGGCGACGAUCCGUAGCUGGUCUGAGAGGAUGAUCAGCCACACUGGAACUGAGACACGGUCCAGACCCCUACGGGAGGCAGCAGUGGGGAAUAUUGGACAAUGGGCGCAAGCAUGAUCCAGCCAUACCGCGUGGGUGAAGAAGGCCUUCGGGUUGUAAAGCCCUUUUGUUGGGAAAGAAAAGCAGCAGGUUAAUACCCCGCUGUCCUGACGGUACCCAAAGAAUAAGCACCGGCUAACUUCGUG
This 492-nucleotide ribosomal RNA is filed under the name uncultured bacterium. RNAcentral's name for it is "partial 16S ribosomal RNA". It matches the Rfam family "Bacterial small subunit ribosomal RNA", at positions 29 to 507 of the family's 1533-position model. The record is from RNAcentral.